GAUGAAGAACGCAGCGAAAUGCGAUACGUAAUGUGAAUUGCAGAAUUCAGUGAAUCAUCGAGUCUUUGAACGCACAUUGCGCCCCCUGGUAUUCCGGGGGGCAUGCCUGUCCGAGCGUCAUUGCUGCCCUCAAGCACGGCUUGUGUGUUGGGCCUCCGUCCUCCUCCCGGGGGACGGGCCCGAAAGGCAGCGGCGGCACCGCGUCCGGUCCUCGAGCGUAUGGGGCUUCGUCACCCGCUCUUGUAGGCCCGGCCGGCGCUUGCCGACACAUCAAUCUUUUUUCCAGGUUGACCUCGGAUCAGGUAGGGAUACCGCUGAACUUAAGCAUAUCAAUAAGCGGAGGA
Molecule: unclassified non-coding RNA, 344 nt
Filed under: soil metagenome
Description: partial contains 5.8S ribosomal RNA, internal transcribed spacer 2, and large subunit ribosomal RNA
Rfam family: 5.8S ribosomal RNA (bases 1-120)
Source: RNAcentral